RNAcentral lists this non-coding RNA (24 nucleotides) under Arabidopsis thaliana (thale cress). Lineage: Eukaryota; Viridiplantae; Streptophyta; Magnoliopsida; Brassicales; Brassicaceae. The record is from RNAcentral.
CCAAAGUUUCAAAAUAGUGCCUUU